UGACUAAUCCUAUCAGGAACCUUACUGAAG
Molecule: non-coding RNA, 30 nt
Filed under: Mus musculus (house mouse)
Lineage: Eukaryota; Metazoa; Chordata; Mammalia; Rodentia; Muridae
Source: RNAcentral